This 287-nucleotide ribosomal RNA is filed under the name uncultured Methylomirabilota bacterium. RNAcentral describes it as "uncultured candidate division NC10 bacterium partial 16S ribosomal RNA". It matches the Rfam family "Bacterial small subunit ribosomal RNA", at positions 1060 to 1345 of the family's 1533-position model. Lineage: Bacteria; Methylomirabilota (SeqCode). The record is from RNAcentral.
UCGUGUCGUGAGAUGUUGGGUUAAGUCCCGCAACGAGCGCAACCCUCACCCCUUGUUGCCAUCAGGUGACGCUGGGCACUCUAGGGGAACUGCCCCGGUCAACGGGGAGGAAGGUGGGGAUGACGUCAAGCCAUCAUGCCCCUUACGCCCUGGGCUACACACGUGCUACAAUGGCCGGUACAAAGGGAUGCAAGACCGCGAGGUGGAGCUAAACCCAGAAAGCCGGUCUAAGUUCAGAUUGGAGUCUGCAACUACGACUCCAUGAAGGAGGAAUCGCUAGUAAUCGC